This 852-nucleotide ribosomal RNA is filed under the name Austropleospora keteleeriae. RNAcentral describes it as "partial large subunit ribosomal RNA". It matches the Rfam family "Eukaryotic large subunit ribosomal RNA", at positions 74 to 943 of the family's 3401-position model. The record is from RNAcentral. Lineage: Eukaryota; Fungi; Ascomycota; Dothideomycetes; Pleosporales; Didymosphaeriaceae.
AUUGCCCUAGUAACGGCGAGUGAAGCGGCAACAGCUCAAAUUUGAAAUCUGGCUCUCUUUGGGGGUCCGAGUUGUAAUUUGCAGAGGAUGCUUUGGCAUUGGCGGCGGUCUAAGUUCCUUGGAACAGGACAUCGCAGAGGGUGAGAAUCCCGUACGUGGGCGCCUGCCUUUGCCGUGUAAAGCUCCUUCGACGAGUCGAGUUGUUUGGGAAUGCAGCUCUAAAUGGGAGGUAAAUUUCUUCUAAAGCUAAAUACCGGCCAGAGACCGAUAGCGCACAAGUAGAGUGAUCGAAAGAUGAAAAGUACUUUGGAAAGAGAGUCAAAAAGCACGUGAAAUUGUUGAAAGGGAAGCGCUUGCAGCCAGACUUGCCCGCAGUUGCUCACCUAGGCUUUGGCCUGGGGCACUCUUCUGCGGGCAGGCCAGCAUCAGUUUGGGCGGUUGGAUAAAGGCCUCUGUCACGUAUCUCCCUUCGGGGUGACCUUAUAGGGGAGGCGCAAUGCAACCAGCCCGGACUGAGGUCCGCGCAUCUGCUAGGAUGCUGGCGUAAUGGCUGUAAGCGGCCCGUCUUGAAACACGGACCAAGGAGUCUAACAUCUAUGCGAGUGUUUGGGUGUCAAGCCCGGGCGCGCAAUGAAAGUGAACGGAGGUGGGAACCCUUUGGGUGCACCAUCGACCGAUCCUGAUGUCUUCGGAUGGAUUUGAGUAAGAGCAUAGCUGUUGGGACCCGAAAGAUGGUGAACUAUGCUUGAAUAGGGUGAAGCCAGAGGAAACUCUGGUGGAGGCUCGCAGCGGUUCUGACGUGCAAAUCGAUCGUCAAAUUUGGGCAUAGGGGCGAAAGACUAAUCGAACCAU